RNA transcript from Fragaria vesca subsp. vesca, 662 nucleotides. RefSeq lists it as uncharacterized. The record is from RefSeq and is a predicted model, not a curated record. Lineage: Eukaryota; Viridiplantae; Streptophyta; Magnoliopsida; Rosales; Rosaceae. The transcript is spliced from 2 exons.
AUUGAAAAAUGCAGCGAACUCGUGGCAACCUCUUCUUUCUAUUUCUAAGAAGAAAAAAUCAAUUUUGAGAAAUUUCAAAAUUCGGGAUGUUACAUCCCCCUUUCUUAGUUUUCUGGGUUUGAGGUUCGGUCUCCGACAAGGUCUUUUGUUCUUAGGGUUUCAAUGAGUCCGUCGAGCUCAGGCGAGCCUAGUUGUGGUUAGUGGGAGCCCAGAUGCAUCUUGGAAGAGGUUUGGAGGAAGCUGCUCCUGUUUUGGAAGGUGGUAAAGCCCUAGGAACGCCGUGGAGGGUGGCUGGUCGGUGGAGCAGUGUCUCCCACCCUUGGAUCUUCGACUGGGAGACUUGAAUGGGUAACCUUCGAAUCCUUUAACCACUGUGUUGCCUAGUUUAUGAUGGGUUGGUGAUUAAUCUUGGGUCUUUUAUUGCUUGUUGUCGAGAACUUGGUGAAUCGAAGAUUUCGGGAAGGUCAUGGCGAAAUUCCGACAAGUCGUCGGAAUCCGGUAGAGUUUUCUAGCAAGUCAUCGGAAUCCGGCAAGACAGUAGAUCCAACAGAGAGCGGAGAAGGACUCAAGUAAGUGUCUAUGGACGUAAAGGCUCGCCGUAGGAAGUUGACCGGCAUUUGACUUGGGAAGCCUCCGCUUAGCAAUUAAAUAACCGAAUCACU